This 497-nucleotide ribosomal RNA is filed under the name uncultured bacterium. RNAcentral's name for it is "partial 16S ribosomal RNA". It matches the Rfam family "Bacterial small subunit ribosomal RNA", at positions 28 to 507 of the family's 1533-position model. The record is from RNAcentral.
GAUGAACGCUGGCGGCGUGCCUAAUACAUGCAAGUCGAGCGAACGGACGAGAAGCUUGCUUCUCUGAUGUUAGCGGCGGACGGGUGAGUAACACGUGGAUAACCUACCUAUAAGACUGGGAUAACUUCGGGAAACCGGAUCUAAUACCGGAUAAUAUUUUGAACCGCAUGGUUCAAAAGUGAAAGACGGUCUUGCUGUCACUUAUAGGUGGAUCCGCGCUGCAUUAGCUAGUUGGUAAGGUAACGGCUUACCAAGGCAACGAUGCAUAGCCGACCUGAGAGGGUGAUCGGCCACACUGGAACUGAGACACGGUCCAGACUCCUACGGGAGGCAGCAGUAGGGAAUCUUCCGCAAUGGGCGAAAGCCUGACGGAGCAACGCCGCGUGAGUGAUGAAGGUCUUCGGAUCGUAAAACUCUGUUAGUAGGGAAGAACAUAUGUGUAAGUAACUGUGCACAUCUUGACGGUACCUAAUCAGAAAGCCACGGCUAACUACGUG